CUGUUAAUUCUGUGUUUAAAAAUUCUAGAUAAGAAAGUGGAGAGGAUAGAAUGAAGUUGAUGUGUGAAGAAAAGCAAGUUCUCCUUUGUAUUUGCAAAAGCCCAGUGCCCUGCCACAACUGAAAAGAAGCUGGGAUUCAAGAGGUGGUUUUCUUUCAAACCUAUCCCCGAAGACAACGGAGCAGAUGAUGUUGGAGACAGCAUGGAUCAGGAAUCUGCCAGGGUUGAAGGGUUUCGCUGCAACAACAGAAAAAAAAGAUAUGCAGGGUGUCCCAGUAAGCACAAAGUCCAGUCCUACCAUGUGUGUUCCUGAUCCUCUCCACCAGAAAGUGAGCUUCCUCCUGGAUUCGCUCGUCAAUGCUCCUCUUCCCCACUCCGAAAUCCCUCAGGGUGGUGAGUGCAAAUCGUCGGAGCUGCUUCCAGGUCUCCCCAUUGCUGGUCACAAUACCUGAUGAAGGAAAAAUAGACCACCAUGAGGAAACAGGUUUUAUUUCUUUCCCUCCCUGAAUGGGAGCUACACAGUGAGUACUCAACAUGCAAAGAUACUCCUCUGUGGAGUUAUAUUGCAAUUGCUGUGUGCCCAAUAAUGUAACUUCUCUGAAGUUCUGGAGGUGACAGAUUUGAUCCAUCUGUCACAGCACUUGGAGUAAAACUCAGUUUAUUGCCAGAGUAAGAAAAGCUACAUUCGGAUGUAACACUGGUACUGAAUUUGUCUUGGCCAUAGGCACUGAAAAUCAGCACAAAAGUUCUACUAUGCACCUCCACAUGGUGUAACAGUAUUGACAAGACCAUUGAUACUGUACUAUCGUACCAUGGAUUAGUUACUAUUUACCCAGAUAAAUGCCAUACUCAGAACUGCCCUAGUGAAUGAACACAUGGUCUAAUCUUGAAUGUGGCCCUUAUUGGCACAGCCUAUAUUAUCUCAUCUUUGUUGUCUGUGGACUUUCCUCUUGUUGGUUCCUUAGCGGUAUGUAUAUUGUCAGUAUUUUCAGAAAUGGGAGAAUGAACCUAGGAUCUUAGAGGCACAUUUGAUGAGCAAACUUUUAGCCACAAUUUGUAGCAUGCUGAAAAUAGAAAGGCACUCAGUGAAGCCAGCCUGUGACCUUAGAUAGUUCUCCAGGGAACCUCUUUACUCAAGGGUCCAAGUACUGAGUUGGGCUCUUAGUUUUUUAUUGCUAAAAGUAGUAAAUGAAAGGUAAGUAACUGAAAAGUAGUAAAUGAAAUCCACCAUUCCCUCCUCCACUGCCCUCUGAACUGUGUUGCUGAAGCACUGAAAGCAUCAGCUUUGUAUGCUAACGUUACUGGGGAUAUACCUGUGCCUUUGAAGAGUCUUUCAAGGAGUGGUAGAUUGCCCCUUCCACUGAAGUCAUCUGCCUGAUCAAUCAGAGCUUCUUUCACAACAUCAUAGCCAUACAGCACCACAAUCUUUCGUGGGCCUAAAUGUAUUGUGAAGACAGGACCAUACUUCUCGCUAAGCUGUAGGAAAGAGGAACACAAAGAACAACAUAUGAGAGUUGUCCCUAAUAUCUCCUGGGCACCAGACCUCUGUAAACUGGAUGAGUAUAUCAGUGGAGAGUCAUUGGAGCCUUGUACUGAAUAAGAGGAGUUGGGCACAGGAGGAGUGUAGUGAAUAUAGCAAUAGCAUCAGCGCCUUGAUUGCAAAGCCACUGCAAAUUGCAGUUCUGCCAUGAAGUCAGCACAGGACUCAUCAUUAGUAGGGUUAUUGCAAAGAUAUAGCCUUAGACUUGCACUAUAUAGACUUAGAUAUCAGAUUAUUGGAAUAUAUAGACUUCAGAAGCAUUUAUUUCUGUGAAACCGUUUGGUUCUGUUGGAGUUAUUUGGUCAAUGCAAAUUAAGCUUGUGACUUAAACUGAGACAGUCUAGACUUGACUUUGUUUUAUAUGCAAUGGAAACAACUUAGGAAAGAAGGAGACAGUGCCUUACCUUCUUCAAGCUUUCAGGCAAGUUCCUUGGGUUCAGCUGGAAUAUGUUUCCAGCUAGGGGGAGUGCUAUGGGACCAGGAGGCUGCUUCAUGUUUUGUGAUAUAUUUCUCCAUGUGGUGAUGAGAAGAAGGCAUGAGAUACAGAUCAGCAAGAAAAUAGUGGUCAUUCCCAGGAGCUCCAUGGUGGGCUGAGGAAGAGAAGUUUCAGAAAAGCCUGAUGUUGGACCUGUAAAUCCAUCCAUAUUUAUAUACUGUGAAUCCAAAGCACAUGGAUGAAAUUAGCCAAUAGUGCCUUCCUAUUCCUUCUGAGAUAUGAGAUUACUUAUUAAUUAGCUCAAGAUAAGAAUGAACAAACUAGGGAUGAACUCCUUGUUUAUACAAUGAUUUUUUUUACCUCUCCACCUCUGGGUAAUCAUUCAUGCCGGACUAAAGAAGUCAUGUUCUAAUGCUGUCAAACAAACUCAAAAUGCCUAGCUGCUAUGUAUAUGCUUAAACUCUGUUUGCCCUCAUGCCUAGAUUGACAUCUGCCAGCCCCUCCAGUAUCUGAGCACAGUGGAGGGAGGUGUUGUGAUUGAAAAAGGGCGUCACUCCAAGUUCUUCCUAGGCAUUCCACCUCCAUUUCUGGAACAAAAUUAUGCAAUUGUACCCAAGUCACACAUGCAGAUUUUGAGGAAUACACUCAGCUUGUCCUAACCUGAUAUUUCAGCCAGACAAACCGUACCGUCUACAGCAUUUGCAUGAUCACAGAUUCUGCCCAAACCACAGAUCCCUGCAGCAACCUGCAAUCUCCUUUCUGAUGCUUCUAGAAACUAGUUGAAGAUCCACAGAAGUUGUGAAGAUCCAUGAAAUAUAAAGGCACCCUGAAGAGAGCUCAACAGAAUGAUUGGUUUAAUUAAUAUUAUUUAAUAUAAUGUAUCUUAAAUGAAAUAUUAUGCUUCCCACUUCUUCUCCGACAGGAAUCCAACCCCCUAUAAGAAGGGUGAGAAGUGUGUAUGUCUUCUGGCAGAGAAGUAGAGCAGAUUGAGCCACCUGAGACCAAAGAGCUGAUACCAGGACUCGGUUGCCAAAUGUUGUCUGUCCAUCAUAUGUAGUGUCUGUAAAGUGCUAGUGAUCUACUGUAAACACUGUACGCAGACUCGUACAGCCCCACCAUUCUCCCACUUUCUUCUUGGCCCCAACGACAAGGCAUGGCAUUAGGCUGUAUAUUUCUUUUUUCUGUGACUUUAUGUAGAGAGAUACUGAUCCUCUACAUAAGGAGCACAUUUGAACAUAGUGCUUAUGGCAAGAUGACUAGAAGAAGUCAGGGAAGCUUGUACAUCAUUGUACUAGGGGAUGUGAAAGGGGGUGUGCGUUUAGCAGGCACUCGAGCUUGAUGCUGGCCAGGGCUGGGUGGAUGGUGUCUUCUUAAAACUAAUAAGUAUGGGAAGGAGUAACAGGUAAACCUUUCCUAAACUACACACAUAAUUACUAAAUAGCAUAACUCAGGUUUCAGGAAAACUGUAGUGGAUUAAACCAGUGAAGUAGUUAUGAAGUGAGGACAUGAAUUUAGUAGGUGCAAAGUUACACUUAAUUUCUGACACUGCUUAAGUGUCAAGAGUAUCAAUUACUCUUUGACUAUUAAGGUUAAUGAAUGUUAUUAAAGUUUACUUUUAUAAGUCUUGUAAUAGUCCUAAAGCAAUGUUAAUUCAGACCCAGUGAAGCCCCAGUAGGGAAACAAACAAGGGAAGAGGACAUGGAGUGUAGAGAAUGGAAGCUGACAACAACAUCUUAAGGAAGGGAAUAGGAACAUUACUGAAAUAAAAAACCAAUUAGAUUCAUCACUAAAGAAGAUCUCUGUGUAAUAAGAAAAAGAUAUGAAAUUACUCUUAAACUCACUUUGAGAAUCAGUGCCAAGCGAUACUAUUUUCAUGUUUAUCUCUGAUUAACAAAGAAUAUAUAUUUCCUAUCUAUGAAACUGGUGUUCAAAGACAAUGCAGUGGAUAAUGCUGUCAAGAAAAAGGGUGUGAGUUAGAGUUGCUCUGUAGGAAAAUCUCCCUGGACAGCUCAUCUGAAACAACUUGCUUUGAUUUUGGUUUCAUUUCCCUGUGUUCCCCCACCCCUCCCCACCCCCAGCUGAGAAGCCAAUAUUCCCACCAGGGGUGAGAAGUCCCCAUUCCUAUGCUUCCUGGGUAGUUCUUGCCCCACAGAAGACCCCUUGCCCAUCGCCCCAUAGGCUGUGGUCAGACUGACCACUCUCCUGCUCUUCAUCUCAGAUACCUGGGUCUCUGUCCAUCACCUAUUGGUAGUGGGUGAGCAUUAAAUGGGUGACAGUGUCCUCUGGCCUAUUUCUCUUCACACACUAGAGAGGGAGCUCAUCCAGACUUUCAGACAAUUAAGUCAGAUGAGACAGAUCCCACCCAAACGACCACAUCAGGGACCAUUUCAGUUCUUCUGAGUCAGCAAAACAGGCUCUGCCACCUGCUAACGCUCAGUCCAUCCCACUACAUCUUUUAUGAUACAUAACCAAAAUUAUACUUACUCCUUUUGUGGUAUGAUAGUGGAAGGAAGUGUUAAACUUAUAAAAAGCUAUAUAUAUGUAUAAAAAGGGAUAUAUUCUUAUAUUUCAUAUGUAUCUAUCUACCUACCUACUUAUCUAUAUCUUAUUUCUCUCCCAGAUAAUGAAACGCAUUUUCUUUCCUGGACCAUCUCAUUGACUUAGAACUUGGGUCCACAUUGGUUCAAUCAGUUGUUGAGAGCUCACGUCUGCACUUUCAUAUGUAUAAAAAUAGCCAGACACACUGUGAACACCAGACUUUGUUUUCUACUGAGCUGUCAAAAUGGGAUUUAAAGGAUGGGCAGAUUUUAUCUUUAGCCCAAUUAGCUGAGGACUAGCAGAUUCUACAGCAGCAAGGAAAGAAACAUUUCCCACCUAAAUUUAGAUAUUAAAAAGCUAGGUGUCCAAAUCAGCUAGUCUCCCCUGUUAGCACAGAAACACUGAUACUUCCAGAAGAUGGGUCAUCUGACUUGUCUUAUGCUCCUAUUUUAGUGUGAAAUGAGUCAGUCACUGAAGAAGUUUAUUGCCCCCGACUAAAAAGGGAGCCUCAGGAGACUUGUACAAAUUUAUAUGUCUGAUUGCUAGGGACCUGUUUUGAGGCAGAUGACACUGAUUCACUGUGCAUCUCUCCUGGUUCUGAUGAUGUUCUUUAUCAGCAACAAAUUCUACAAUUUCUGGUACAAUGGGCAGUGCUCUGAAUACUGCACGUAAGGAUAUUGAAAACCAGAAGUGGGCAGAUGAGCGAAAUUGAGAUAAGCCUUCUAGGCUGUGUCUGGAGGAAUGGUUAUAUCACUGAGAACAGUCAGUUUUAAGGUUAUCAACGAAAAAAAAGUUAUUUGUAUUUCCUUUUCCUUUACUUUUACAGAGAAGGUGCCUUGCAUUCCUCUGUUGGCAGACCUGAAACUGCUGUGAAGCCUAAUGCACUGGAAAAGCAGGGCAUUGCUAACAGCAUCACUUCCACAUCCAGACACAGCUUUUUUAUUGUUUAUCUAAUUACUCUCAUAAUCACUGAAGGGUUUAAAAAUGGUGUUGGGAUAAAGGCAGAACUCCUUGGAGGGAUCUGUGAGUUUCACUGGAUAGAGAUUUAACUUGCAAAGGUCUGGUGUCACCUCUGAUGGCAGAAAGAUAGGAAUUAUUUGAGUACGAAAGGCUAUUUGAGAACGAAAGGCUUAUUUGAGUAUGAAAGAGCCAUCCUGAUAUAGUUCAUAUUCACAAGAAACACCUGAAAGACUCUGCUUUCUUCUAAUCGAGGUAUAAAAGCAGAUGCUGGGGCCUCUGCUCUUGUUAUGAAAUGGCAUCAUUCUCUGGGUCCACCUGUGAGUUUGACCUCAGAUUGACAGGGUGGGAUGCGAACAUAUGAACUGAUCUUUCAAAAUCCAGGCCUUUCUCUGAAUGUCGUCUGGAGGCUGUUGGUUUACUGGGCCUGCCUAGAGGCUUCUGUGGGCCAGCUCCUGGGAUCCCAUCCUGUGUUUAUAUGUAGCACUUAACCUGGGACCUGCACUUACUGUUUAAUUCACCUGCUUCUAUUCUCCUCCAGAUUGGGUCUGUGUGAAAAAAGACACCUUCUUAUCCUCAAACAGCUCCAGUACAAUCCAAAACAUAGGCUCAUACCAGCUGCUAUGAAGAAAAUUAACUCUACCCAAGGCAAAACCAGCACAGCAGGUUAGCAGAGAAACCUGUGGAAAUCAUCUUUCCUGUUCUGCUGCGAAUAACAUCUCAGCUACUAAACUCAUAGUACUUGCAGAUAGGACUUUCCUUAGGGCCUUAUAAAAAAAUCACAGUAUCAACCUCUGCCUUAUUUCUGGCAGCAAUUUGACAGAGGAUCUGCUGUGAUCAGCAGGAAUUAAGGUUCAGCGAUAAGUUCAGCAUUCAAGAAUGUAUGUAACAACACCCAUAUUUGUAACAUGCUACACAGCUAGUACUAGAGAUAAGAUGCAAACCACAUCAUUAGUUUUCAGAUCAAAGAUAUGACAUUUGGCCAGCUGGCCCAAAAAGCUUGGUUAAAUAUUAAUGUAUUAACUUACAGGACUCAUAAUUCAGUUGAAAAAAGAUGAAAUCAUUGAAGUUCUUUAGUCAUUUGCAAUACAUGGUAAAUUACUCAUUUAGUCUCCAAAAGGGCAAGGAAGUUAACCUGACAGCAGCCUUCCUGUGACCUGUACUGUGACUUUACCAGCAGUAAAUCACUGUGUUGCUGGUAUACCCCAUUAUCUCUGAAUAAAGCCAAGAUGCUUAGCUCUAGACUGUGGUCAGCAUUAAGAAAGAACAGGCGCUCGCCCAAACCUGGCAGAAAAAGUGAGGAAAUGGGAAAAGUCAGUCCCAGUCUAUACACGGUGAUGGUAGGCACCAAAGUGAAGGCUGCCAAAUUUCAAAGAAGAUGUCUGAGCUCAGCUGAGCUCCUGAGAUUGCUGAGGGCAAUGCUGAUUGCCUGCAUGGGCAGUGGGGCCCAUCCUGAACCAGCUGCAGAACCACAAUAGUGUACAGUAGGUCAUCCAAAAGGUCCAUGUCCUGGGAGAUACAGAAGUGAAGGGGCAACUUUAUCAGCUGUCCCUAACUAUAACACCGUCAUCAUGGGCAGAGUGCCCACUGUGACUUUCCGAAUGCUGAGCAGGAAACCUACAGUACGAACAGGACCUGAACAUACACCUGCUGAAACUCUGGUUAGGGCGUUAACUUGAGGCAUUCAGGAACUUUAAAAAGUUGCUUAUCAUCAUAACAAAUAUCAUAGAAACAUGUAACUUGCUGUAUGCUCUGAAAACAAUGCAUACCGUGAAGAAAAAUGAUGACAGAAAAGUUCACCUACUGACAGCAAUUAUCAAGUAACAAAACCUUCGGCUACAGUUUGUGAUAUCAAGUAACUACAGUGAUAAGGAAAACAGAUAAGAAAUCAUGCACUUAAAUCAUGAAAAGUAACUGAUGCUGGUACCAAGUGAUAUAAUGUAUGCCUUCACUAUGCCUUUCAGUCCUGCCAGAGUCAGAAGCACAGAGGUGGCAUAGUGCUUUGGGAAGUUAAGGGAGGAAAUCAAAAAACACAGCAGCCCUAAGAAGUGACCCCACCACAGUGGCACAGCCAGUGCUGGACCAUGUUAGUAGGAGGAUGGUGGUGGAGGAUGAUUCUUCACUGUGGUGACACCAUCUCCCUGAUGACUAUGUAGAAAGUCAAGCUAUAGCAAAUUUCCUCAGUAUCAUGCAAGAAACCCCUAGUGCGAUACAACACAUAUAUCUGCAGAUCACACUAUUAGCUAUUCCUCUCAUCAGCCUAGUCUUCCAGACAAGUUCCCACAGAUGGAUUUACAUACUUUCUUGCCAUUUUGGAGGUUAGUUUUUGAAUGAAGAACAUUUCAGAAACCAUCAGCAUUUUAACUUCAAGUUUACAGAUACUAGCAUCUGUCAGUUGGGCUUUUCUCCUAACUGUGCCAAAAUAUAGCAAGUGCGUUAAAAGUGUAAAUCAUGUUUCUCUACUCCAAAUGGUAAUGGAGGAAAUGUAGAAUAAAUUGAGGAAGAGAAGCUGUGUCAGAAAAUGGAAGAAAGUGAGGCAAGUGUGUUUAAUAUACUACAAGUCAAAGAGAAGUGCAGAAAGCCUAGGACAGGGUUGAGGGUACUGCCUCGGAGGGAACUUUCUCUGUAGAAGUCUGUGCAAACUGGUGAGUAGGCAAUGGGGCUGUGGGGUAUAAGGACAGAGAUGAGUGAGCCAAGGAGGACCAGUGGUUGCCUUGGCCAUAGACCCCAAGUCAUUCCCUGUGUGAGGCCUUAUACCAGCCACGCGGUGGCAGAGGGAAAAGGAGAAUUUGCAGGGUUGAGGAGGAGUUUCUGGGAUGUCUUUUCUACUCAUCACAAUGGAAAUCAGCCAUGAAAUGUUCUGCCAGCAAAUGGCCACCUGACGACUUAUUCAUGACCUGCAUCCCACAAGGAACAAGAACUUGCAUAAACUCACGAGCAGUAUUUGGAUAGCAGACGAACAGCCAGUGCUUUCCCUGCAGGACACAAUCAGCAAAAGAAUCACAGAAUCAUAGAAUAGUUAGGGUUGGAAAGGACCUUAAGAUCAUCUAGUUCCAACCCCCCUGCCAUGGGCAGGGACACUUUGCACUAAACCAUUUCGCCUAAGGCUCUGUCCAACCUGGCCUUCAACACCGCCAGGGAUGGAGCAUUCACAACUUCCUUGGGCAACCCAUUCCAGUGCCUCACCAUGCUCACUGUAAAGAACUUCUUCCUUAUAUCUAAUCUAAGCUUCCCCUGUUUAAGUUUGAAGCCAUUACCCCUUGUCCUACCACUACAGUCCCUAAGGAAGAGUCCCUCCCCAGCAUCCUUAUAGGCCCCCUUCAGAUACUGGAAGGCUGCUAUGAGGUCUCCACGCAGCCUUCUCUUCUCCAGGCUGAACAGCCCCAACUUUCUCAGCCUGUCUUCAUACAGGAGGUGCUCCAGCCCUCUUAUCAUCCUCGGGGCUCAAUAGCUUGGAAGGUAACAUAAAAGAUGACCUUGACAAUGAGCCAAAGCCAGAGUUCACUUGAUUAAAGCAAAAUAUGUGUGUACUUCAGGCUGAAGUGAGUUUUUCUGAGGUACAUUGACUCUUCAGACUAAAAGCUAUUAAAGAAGGACUGAUCCAGGUGUACCUGAGGGGACCAAGUGAGGGUGAAGGCCUGCCUAAACAUAUUUCAGCCUUAUAAAAGCAAAAAGAAAAAGAAAAAAAAGGAACAUCAUCACCCCCUUUUUUACAUAAUAAAGUGGUUUUCCUAUGUCUGAAUCCAGUUUCCUGAAGCCCUAGCCUCAAUACUGGAUUCAUCCUUACGACAUUGUGGUUAGUGCCAGUAUUGGGGGCAGGGAAAUAUGUUUUGCUUUCCAUGGGUCCAUAUUUUGCAGACUGAAUUCUUCUGCCUUUGGGAAAAUGAGCCAGCGAGGUAGAGAAUCAUCAGCCCAAAUACUAAUUGCAUGUCCUGAAUUUUGAAUGGUCACAGGCUAUGUAAUUGGAGGCCAAGAGGAGAGGAGGGCUCUAGGUAAAAUACGAGCCCAGAAAAGCAGCUCCAAGCUGCACAGGUCCAUCAUCAGUCCCUGAAGGAGAGGUCUCAGAGUGCUGCUAGCAGGAAACCUCAGCACAGAACCUUCUCAGAAAGCAAGAACUAUAUGAGAGUAGCAGGCAAGCAGGGUUAAAAUAUGUGGCAGAAUGAGGGCAAAAUGAGGGUGCAGCCUGUAAGCAGGAGGGCUGUGGCUCCACUUCUGAGAGCCUUCAGGGGACUAUAGGAGAGGAGAGCAGAAGUAGAGAGGAGAAAGAAGUAAGGAGAGAUAUUGCUAAGUGCCCAGUCAAGGCAUCCCAUUUCAUUCACAUAGACACAGCCACUGAUACUGAAAAGCAAGGUAUUUCCAAAGGAGGUACUUGUGAGGUGUUUCACCUUCUUCCAUGAAAGGCAUUAAAUCUUGGAUGAUAUGAAAAGCAAUUCAGAGUAACAAACAAACAGAGAGUAGAUAAAGCAUGCAUUUAUAAAACCAAAUAUAGCUAUCUGAAUGAUUUAUAACCAUGACAUACAAAUUUUAAAAGGACUCCUUUAAAACUCCUCAUGCCUCAACCAUUGGGGUUUUUUUAAUUUAAUUUUUUGUUGAUACAGAUGGAAAUUUGUCACCUACUGCUGUCAUGGAUAUAUGGCCUUGCUCUAUCAGUGUAAUAUGAUCCUGCUCCUAAGACAAGCAGGUCAGAGAGCAUUUUACCUUUCGGGCCAGUUCUCAGUGCUGCCAUCUAAUACCAAGCAACUGUCUCCUGUUCGACCUAAAAAUUACAGCCUUAAUCUCAUGGACUAACCAAUUAAUCCCAUCAAAAGUUAUGCAACUGGAAUUCUUGAUACAGUCUCUCACACAAGCUCGGUCUUUUUGUCCUCAUCCAGGACUAUGACUGGAGAGGUGAGGAAAACCUUGUCCUCUCUCCCACACUCCACCUCGUUGACUCUUCACCAAUACACAGUAUGUUGCAAGCAGCCAGAAGUGUUACCAUACGCAUUCAUAUACUCACACACUUCCAGCCACUAUCAGAUAGGCUUUGGCAUAGACCAAGCACUAGUAUGACCUCGCAGUCUUGGCUGAUGGCUCUUCCUAAAUUCCUUCUGCACACAUUUACAGCUGUGUGCUGCUUUGCAAUUUAGGAUGUGUUUAAUUCUCCUAAUGACAUUUUCCCCCUGCUGUAGGGGGGGUAGGAACAGAAUUGCAACUCUUCAGUGGGAAUUAAAUAUUUGUUUUGUAUUCUAGGUUUCACACAAAUCCACCAACAAUUUUUGAACUAGUGUGUGCCACAUGCUGCCUCAGCAGCAGCAAGCUGCUGGGCUAACAGAGGGUGUCACACAGAGCAUGUGGUAGGUAAUGUGGAGCUGUGCUCGAGCCUUACAUGCCGUCUUUUAGUUCAGGGCUUCUUUUUUAAGGCCAGAGUCAUUCUGCUGCAGACAAGUCUCUCUCUCUGCUUUCCAUACCCAGCAUUCAGGUUUAAGGAGGUCUUUUCCAUGAAAAGCACAGAUAGGGACAAGCAAAAACCUUUUUCAGAGUCAAGACUGCCUCAAGCAGGCAACUCUGCAGGACUCAGUUUCGGGACCAUGCCUGAGAAAAUAAUGCUGAAACUUACCAUAUGUUGGCAGUUAAAACUUUUAAUGACGACAGUUGUGGCAUAUCUACAAGGGACACCAGAUCUCUAUCCUGUUGAAGUGAAUGGCCAAAUUCCCCACUAUGCUGCUGAGGCUGGGGUCUGUCCUGCAGAGGGAAGUGAUUUCCCAUUUGGAGCUCUGUGUUCUGCAGUGACUCUGUGAGCUGGUGAGUGGAGGAGGCUGGCACCCUGUUUUCUGCUGCUUUACAUUAUUUUUACAGGGGCUAACAGGAAACAGUAUAAAUUUCCUAUGCACUGGAUUGCCUAAUAUUGCUUAACAAAUAGUAACUUUUCCGUGUUAACUGAAGUUAAUAGGAAUAAAUUGUUCAUUGAAAACA
This is a long non-coding RNA of Strigops habroptila (Kakapo), 11422 nucleotides long. RefSeq lists it as uncharacterized. The transcript is spliced from 3 exons. Lineage: Eukaryota; Metazoa; Chordata; Aves; Psittaciformes; Psittacidae. The record is from RefSeq and is a predicted model, not a curated record.